UACAGAGGUCCCAAGCGUUGUUCGGAUUCACUGGGCGUAAAGGGUGCGUAGGCGGUUUGAUAAGUCUGAUGUGAAAUCCCGCAGCUUAACUGCGGAACUGCAUUGGAAACUAUUUGACUAGAGGAAUGGAGGGGAGACUGGAAUACUUGGUGUAGCAGUGAAAUGCGUAGAUAUCAAGUGGAACACCAGUGGCGAAGGCGACUUCCUGGCCUGUUCUUGACGCUGAGGCGCGAAAGCCAGGGGAGCAAACGGG
Molecule: ribosomal RNA, 253 nt
Filed under: uncultured bacterium
Lineage: Bacteria
Description: partial 16S ribosomal RNA
Rfam family: Bacterial small subunit ribosomal RNA
Source: RNAcentral